This 403-nucleotide ribosomal RNA is filed under the name bacterium. RNAcentral describes it as "partial 16S ribosomal RNA". It matches the Rfam family "Bacterial small subunit ribosomal RNA", at positions 355 to 776 of the family's 1533-position model. The record is from RNAcentral.
UGGGGAAUAUUGCACAAUGGGGGAAACCCUGAUGCAGCGACGCCGCGUGAACGAAGAAGGUAUUCGUAUCGUAAAGUUCUGUCCUAUGGGAAGAUAAUGACAGUACCAUAGAAGAAAGCCCCGGCUAAAUACGUGCCAGCAGCCGCGGUAAUACGUAUGGAGCGAGCGUUGUCCGGAAUUAUUGGGCGUAAAGGGUACGCAGGCGGUUUAAUAAGUCGAAUGUUAAAGAUCGGGGCUCAACCCCGCAAAGCAUUGGAAACUGAUAAAAUUGAGUUGUGGAGAGGAAAGUGGAAUUCCUAGUGUAGUGGUGAAAUACGUAGAUAUUAGGGGGGAUACCAGUAGCGAAGGCGACUUUCUGGACACAAACAGACGCUGCGGUACGAAAGCGUGGGGAGCAAACAGG